RNAcentral lists this long non-coding RNA (254 nucleotides) under Gossypium barbadense (sea-island cotton). RNAcentral describes it as "long non-coding RNA (GBAR_LNC001293)". The record is from RNAcentral. Lineage: Eukaryota; Viridiplantae; Streptophyta; Magnoliopsida; Malvales; Malvaceae.
GGGUGUGUUUGUGAUGUGGGUCAAUGGAACACCGUAUCAGAGAUUUCCCACAGUGUUCUAAUCAGAUACAAGCACCAGCUCUGGGAUUUGUUCAGACUCAGCGAGUGGUUCAGCAGCUGCCUAGAAGUCGUGGUCGGCCAAGGGUGGUAAUGGUAUGGGUAGAGGGCAGAGAGCACCGGGCAGAAAUGCUAAUCAGACUGAGGCGAGACAACCUAUGUUGGUUUAUGCUGCUAGACGUCGUGAGGACAGAGAUG